This 822-nucleotide unclassified non-coding RNA is filed under the name Homarus americanus (American lobster). Its description in RNAcentral is "uncharacterized LOC121868298, transcript variant X1". The record is from RNAcentral. Lineage: Eukaryota; Metazoa; Arthropoda; Malacostraca; Decapoda; Nephropidae.
GAGGGGAAGGUGCUGUCGGUCGUCUCUCUCACUUGAUGGACGCUGUUCGUAAAAUUGAUGGAUCCAGUUCCUACUAUUGUGUUAAAAGUCCAGUUUGCUGCAACGGUGGUCGCCAGUGUGGAUAGUACAGCACCUCAUGUUUUAGGAUGAUGACUUGAAGAUGGAGAAUGCAAGAAAUGAUGACCACGAGUUCUUAUGGUGACGUGACUUGCCGCACCAGAAAGUCAGGUUGGGUUCUGGACCUUGUCAAGGAGAGGUGUGCACUCUGCUGUACCACACAUCUUGCCUCACUUGUACGGCUGUACCAGGCUUCUCUCCUCCAAUAUCAGGAUUGCAAGUGAUUCACAACACAACUAAAGGAAGCAGGUGCCAAGAUACAGCCCAGACCCAGCCUUCCACCCCUCCUCUCUACCUCAGAAAUGUUGUUCUGAACACUGGAGUGCCAUGCUGCCCGAGACUGUGCUUACUGGCCACUACCCUGUACUUGCUUGCUGCUGCCCUGUGCUUGCUGGCUGCUGCCCUGGACUGCUCUGCUCUGUGUGCCGCUCCCCUGGACGGCUCUGCUCUGUGUGCCGCUCCCCUGGACGGCUCUGCUCUGUGUGCCGCUCCCCUGGACGGCUCUGCUCUGUGUGCCGCUCCCCUGGACGGCUCUGCUCUGUGCAUGCCGCUGUCCUGGACGGCUCUGCUCUGUGCGUGCCGCUCCCCUUGACGGCUCUGCUCUGUACAUGCUGCUGUCCUGGACUGCUCUGCUGUGUGUGCAGCUGCCCUGGCCUGCAAAUUUAUAGAGCCAUUAAGUUUCCAUUAAUAAAUGUCUAAAUGUCA